CCCUCCUGUUAGGACGUCCCGAGAAACAAGUCGCGAUUCAUCCCUGUUUUAAGUUGUCAAUCGUAAUAUUUAUUAUUUGUUUGUUUAACUAUAAUAUUGUAUACUUCUUUCAUUAUUUAAUACCUUCGUGGUACGCUUUAGCAGUGUAAAGAUUUCACAGUGGUAAACUAGAGUUCAAGAAGGAAUACGACAUCCCGUCAUGAUGUACAAUGGAAGAGAUUCUCGUUUCCGCAUCGACCUCUGCGAUUUAUUAAUGAAUAUAAUUAUCACAAACUGCUGUUUUAUUCUAUUCUUCUACGCAUUAUAUUAUGAAACUAUUGAUAUGCAGGGUUUCCAAGUAAUCUUGGAUUGGAGACAUAUAAUACGAUUCUGUCAUGAUAUUGUAUCCGGAAUAUUGGCAUACGGACUCUUCGUUUUUAUUUAUCUAACGUGGAAUGCAUGGCUUAGAGACCAAUAAGAUGUAUUUUUUUCGGCGAUGUUCUUCAAGAUUAACGGCACCUCAUCACUGACCACUGCUUAAACCCAUGAUAAUCUUAAAAUUAAUUAAUAUGAAUUUGAUAUUAUAUGUCAAUUUUUAGGUAUUUUUAGGUCUGUAACUUGAUGAUAUGUAUAUGUAUAUCAUCGUUAUCUUAUGGAUAUAAUUUAAUACUUACUAUGAUAGUUGUAGAGUUAUCUUUCAAUGAAUGUGUAUUUGAUAUAUUAAUAACAAAAAAAUAUAAAUAACCAAACCAACCCAAAAACAACUUUUACAUCUUCUUUAAAGGCCGGCAACGUCCUGUGAGACCUCUGAUGUUGCAAGAGAAUGUGAGCGGCGAUGAUCACUUAGCACCGGUGACCCGUACGCCCGUUUGUCCUUCUUUGCCAUGAAAAAUCUAUUAUAAUUUACGCCAAACAGUAUUAAUUGAUUUAUAGAAAGUAUUUUAAUAACAUUGAUAAUAAUUAUAGUAAGUAAGAUAAUAUUUGAAUAUAAUAUAUAUUGAAGUAGACGAAUCUCAUACUAGCUGCGUCUAGUGGGCCAAUAACCGUCCGCACGCCAAAUAUUUGCGAGUUGGUAAUUCCUUGCAUAUUGUGUUACAUUCUUGUUUUAAUGUAACUUGCCAUAAAAUAUAUAUGAACUUUUAACCAUCUUGUACCUAGACAAUGAAAUUAAAUAAAUUAUAUAACAUUGUCAUUGUAACUCUGCAUACAAGAAAUCGAUAAAAGUUAUUUAUAGUGUGUAAGUACCCUUAAGGUGAAUAUUUGUCGUUAGUAUUAAUAUCCUAACACAGCAUAUAGUCGAUAUUUAGA
Molecule: long non-coding RNA, 1287 nt
Organism: Leptidea sinapis
Lineage: Eukaryota; Metazoa; Arthropoda; Insecta; Lepidoptera; Pieridae
Exons: 4
Source: RefSeq, a predicted model, not a curated record